GACGAACGCUGGCGGCGUGCUUAACACAUGCAAGUCGAACGGCAAGGCCCUGCUUUCGUGGUGUGCUCGAGCGGCGAACGGGUGAGUAACACGUGAGUAACCUGCCCUUGAUUUUGGGAUAACUUCAGGAAACUGGGGCUAAUACCGGAUAGGAGCUCCCCCUCCAUGGUGGGGGUUGGAAAGUUUCGGCGGUUGGGGAUGGACUCGCGGCUUAUCAGCUUGUUGGUGGGGUAGUGGCUUACCAAGGCUUUGACGGGUACCCGGCCUGUGAGGGUGACCGGCCACAUUGGGACUGAGAUACGGCCCAGACUCCUACGGGAGGCAGCAGUGGGGAAUAUUGCACAAUGGGCGGAAGCCUGAUGCAGCAACGCCGCGUGCGGGAUGACGGCCUUCGGGUUGUAAACCGCUUUCGCCUGUGACGAAGCGUGAGUGACGGUAAUGGGUAAAGAAGCACCGGCUAACUACGUG
RNAcentral lists this ribosomal RNA (468 nucleotides) under uncultured bacterium. RNAcentral describes it as "partial 16S ribosomal RNA". It matches the Rfam family "Bacterial small subunit ribosomal RNA", at positions 28 to 507 of the family's 1533-position model. The record is from RNAcentral.